UUUUCUCUUGCAUUAGGGGAUGACACUAGUCUAGCAUUUUCAACAUCUUUGAAGGAUUUUUUAGGACUUUGAUACUUCUUUAUUAGCCUUCUUCUCUUCAUACUUGUAAAAACAUAAAAGAAAUAAGAGAAAACUAUAUUACUUAAAUAAAAAAAUAACAAUCAUGUAUAAAUUCACACUUUAAGAAUUUGGUAAAAUUGAAAAUUGAGAUAUGAUCAUUUCCUCUUGUAUUAGGAGAUGACACUAUUUUAGCAUCUUCAACAUCUUUGAGG
Molecule: long non-coding RNA, 272 nt
Filed under: Arachis ipaensis
Lineage: Eukaryota; Viridiplantae; Streptophyta; Magnoliopsida; Fabales; Fabaceae
Description: long non-coding RNA (AIPA_LNC001721)
Source: RNAcentral